This 401-nucleotide ribosomal RNA is filed under the name Arthrobacter sp. AZTITEMP17. RNAcentral describes it as "bacterial SSU rRNA". It matches the Rfam family "Bacterial small subunit ribosomal RNA", at positions 934 to 1335 of the family's 1533-position model. Lineage: Bacteria; Bacillati; Actinomycetota; Actinomycetes; Micrococcales; Micrococcaceae. The record is from RNAcentral. RNAcentral also lists the same sequence under 1 other name.
GGAGCAUGUGGUUUAAUUCGAUGCAACGCGAAGAACCUUACCAAGGCUUGACAUGAACUGGAAAUACCUGGAAACAGGUGCCCCGCUUGCGGUCGGUUUACAGGUGGUGCAUGGUUGUCGUCAGCUCGUGUCGUGAGAUGUUGGGUUAAGUCCCGCAACGAGCGCAACCCUCGUUCUAUGUUGCCAGCACGUUAUGGUGGGGACUCAUAGGAGACUGCCGGGGUCAACUCGGAGGAAGGUGAGGACGACGUCAAAUCAUCAUGCCCCUUAUGUCUUGGGCUUCACGCAUGCUACAAUGGCCGGUACAAUGGGUUGCGAUACUGUGAGGUGGAGCUAAUCCCAAAAAGCCGGUCUCAGUUCGGAUUGGGGUCUGCAACUCGACCCCANGAAGUCGGAGUCGC